This 731-nucleotide long non-coding RNA is filed under the name Capsella rubella. Its description in RNAcentral is "long non-coding RNA (CRUB_LNC003691)". Lineage: Eukaryota; Viridiplantae; Streptophyta; Magnoliopsida; Brassicales; Brassicaceae. The record is from RNAcentral.
ACACUACCACAAGCCUCUGGAAUCAUCAUCAUCAUCACCACUUCUUUUUUUUUUUUUUUCAUUCAUCUCUGUUAUCGGACCAAUGACUCACUUGCUUGUUUUUAUCUGAAAAUCGUUUUCCUGCUCACUGCUCAUCUCUUUAAACUAUUCCAUUAUACUGCAGGUCUCAUCACUAAAUACUUCACAGUUCUCAAUACAGCUCAAAUACUAACUUCUUCCUUCUUUCUUAAGCCAGUUUCUGACUUCGGUCGAUCAUGAAAUCUCAGACCAGAGGUUGUGACAGUUUCUUUGACAAUUUGGGAUGGUAACAACAAGAAGAGGCCAUAUCAGGUUAGUAAUAUGUGCAAGAUCUUUUGGUUAUCUUGUUCUAUCAAUAUCAGAGUAACAAAAUUUACUGGCACUUCUUGUACCUUUUGUAGUACUCAAAGUACCCAACAAAUAUCUCACCGGUGUCUAUGAGUCGAUCAACAAGUUAAACGUUUGAUGAGGGGGAGAAAUCGUAACUAACUUGUUCCCUUUCUAAACUAUUCAACGCUUAAGCAGAACACGUUCUGUUGCUGUCACAAAACCGCAUAGUUAAAGGAUAUUAAUCAUGUAAUAUGCGGAACCUGAGUUAGUGUAUUUUACAAGCACGAAGCAGAGGCCAUUAUCGUAAGGAACGUUAAGGAAAUCGAAGUAAAACACAAACCCCAAAACAUAUUCGAAUCCUGUGGCAUAUAAAGGAAAUAGUA